Salvia miltiorrhiza (redroot sage) is the source of this 1300-nucleotide long non-coding RNA. RefSeq lists it as uncharacterized. Lineage: Eukaryota; Viridiplantae; Streptophyta; Magnoliopsida; Lamiales; Lamiaceae. The transcript is spliced from 4 exons. The record is from RefSeq and is a predicted model, not a curated record.
UAUUCAAAAUACCUGCAAUUCUAGAGCUUCUAGCUUUAAUAAUAUACUCCACAUCUACAUCCUACGUGGAAAUAUGCAUCUACAUCACUUAUUUUAUUUUAAAAACACAAAAUCUAACAUUUCUCUACCCCCAAUUCCCAAAACCUAAACAAAUUCCCCUUCUUUCGUCUCUCACAUUUGAUUCUCCCUUCACCCGCUGCAAUUCGCCGUACUUCGGCCUCAAGCUAGAGCUGCCGCCCCUCCCUCCGGUUUGCGAUGCGCCACACUCCAUUCUCAAGUCGGCGCCGCCGCCCCUCCCUCCAGUACGGGCGCUGAUCUGCGAUGCACCGCAUCUACUAUAGUUGCGCGCGGCACAUUGACAUCCGCCGCCGCCGGCAGAGCCACCGACAAUGACAAAAAUAAUUCUCUUAUUUCCGGCGAUUCCAAACCCCCCAAUGGGACACUAAUAAUUUGGAGGCUUUUCUAUUUGUUUGAAUUUAAUUGAAUGAUUCUAAUUUCAUGUUAAUUUGCAGCCUAAGAGUAGGAGAGAGAUUCUUCUGGAGUAUGUGCAGAACGUACAACCUGAAUUUAUGGAGUUGUUCGUCAAGAAAGCGCCGCAGCAGGUAGUUGAUGCAAUGCGUCAGUGACAAAUAUGAUUGGAACUCUACCUCCACAAUUUUUUUCUUUGACAGUAACCACUGAUGAUUUUGUUCGUGAAAAUUAAGAAUUUGUGGCCAAUGGCUGCCACAGACGCAGUCAUUGGCUGCCUCGCCGUAUCUCUUUGCUGUCAACUGCCUUGGAGACUCCGCCAAGCCGUUGCUAUCUACUAUAGUCGCGCAUGGCACAGUCGCCGUCAAUGGCUGCCCCCCGCCAGUUAGCUUUGCAUUGGUUCUUGAUCAGCCAUGGUAAUGGUUUCCCUUGGAAUUCAGAGGAGUAUCCACUCGGUUUCAUCAUUGGUGGCCUUGUGACUUGGCUGCGGCAACAUUGAGCUUUGGAGGUAUUCAAGUUGGCGAAGGGGUUUAGGGGAAGGGCGAAGAAUUGCAUACGGAUUGCGCGGGAGAGAGUGGAGAAGGUGUUGCAGUACUCUUACAGAGAUCGCCUCAACAAGAAGCGGGAUAUGCGUGCUCUUUAGAUCCAGUGAAUCAACGCUGGCACUCGACAGCACGGGGUCCGUUUCACUUUCUAUUUCUAUCACUAAUCUUGCGGUUCUGCUGCUCUGUUUUUUUGUUUUUUUCUUUUUCAGUUUUUUAAGAACAAUAUGUGGGCGUGUUGUGUGACUUGAAUUAUGUGGUUCUGAUGUGAGCAAUUGAUUUGUUUGUUA